UACAGAGGUGGCAAGCGUUGUUCGGAAUUACUGGGCGUAAAGGGCGCGUAGGCGGCCUUGCAAGUCCCGCGUGAAAGCCCCCGGCUCAACUGGGGAACUGCACGGGAAACUGCGAGGCUUGAGUUCGGGAGAGGGAAGCGGAAUUCCGGGUGUAGCGGUGAAAUGCGUAGAUAUCCGGAGGAACACCAGUGGCGAAGGCGGCUUCCUGGACCGAUACUGACGCUGAGGCGCGAAAGCUAGGGGAGCAAACGGGAUUAGAUACCCCGGUAGUCCUAGCUGUAAACGAUGAGUGCUGGGUGUAGGGGGUUUUAACCCCCCCUGUGCCGAAGCUAACGCAUUAAGCACUCCGCCUGGGGAGUACGGUCGCAAGGCUGAA
This 376-nucleotide ribosomal RNA is filed under the name uncultured bacterium. RNAcentral describes it as "bacterial SSU rRNA". It matches the Rfam family "Bacterial small subunit ribosomal RNA", at positions 524 to 898 of the family's 1533-position model. The record is from RNAcentral.